AAAGCGAGUUUUAACUGAGCGUUCAGUUACUUGACGUAGACCCGAAACCGGGCGACCUACCCAUGAGCAGGAUGAAGCGAAAGUAAAAUUUCGUGGAGGUCCGAACCCACGAGCGUUGAAAAGCUCGGGGAUGACUUGUGGGUAGCGGUGAAAUUCCAAUCGAGCCCGGAGAUAGCUGGUUCUCCCCGAAAUAGCUUUAGGGCUAGCCUCAAGGUGAGAGAUACGGAGGUAGAGCACUGAAUGUCCUAGGGGGUAUUGCACCUACCGAAGACUAUCAAACUCCGAAUGCCGUCAUCUUAUACUUGGGAGUCAGACUGUGGGUGAUAAGAUUCAUAGUCGAAAGGGCAACAGCCCAGAUCGUCAGCUAAGGUCCCUAAAUGUAAGUUAAGUGGUAAAGGAUGUGGGAUUGCACAGACAACCAGGAUGUUGGCUUAGAAGCAGCCACUCAUUCAAAGAGUGCGUAAUAGCUCACUGGUCGAGUGAUCCUGCGCCGAAGAUUUCCGGGGCUAAAACUUACUACCGAAGCUACGGCAUCAGUAAUGAUGGGUAGGGGAGCUUCCCAUACGGGUUGAAGCAUGACCGUAAGGACAUGUGGACAGUAUGGGAGUGAGAAUGUUGGCAUGAGUAGCGAGAUGUGGGUGAGAAUCCCACAGGCCGUAAACCCAAGGUUUCCAGGGGAAGGUUCGUCCGCCCUGGGUUAGUCGGGACCUAAGCUGAGGCCGAAAGGCGUAGGUGAUGGACAACAGGUUGAUAUUCCUGUACUACCGAUAACCGUUUGAGAGAAGGGAUGACACAGUAGGAUAAGCUAAGCACACUGUUGGUUAUGUGUGCCCAAGCAUUGAGGCAGUCAAAGUAGGCAAAUCCGCUUUGAUAAUGCUGGGAUGUGAUGGGGAGCGAAAUUUAGUAGCGAAGUAGCUGAUUUCACACUGUCAAGAAAAGUCUCUAUCGAGGUUAAAGGUACCCGUACCGCAAACCGACACAGGUGGGUGAGGAGAGUAUCCUAAGGCCAGCGAGAGAACUGUUGUUAAGGAACUCGGCAAAAUGACCCCGUAACUUAGGGAUAAGGGGUGCCACCAUCAGGUGGCCGCAGAGAAUAGGCCCAAGCGACUGUUUACCAAAAACAUAGGUUUCUGCUAAGUCGCAAGACGAUGUAUAGGAGCUGACGCCUGCCCGGUGCUGGAAGGUUAAGGGGAUCUGUUAGAGCAAUCGAAGCAGUGAACUUAAGCCCCAGUAAACGGCGGCCGUAACUAUAACGGUCCUAAGGUAGCGAAAUUCCUUGUCGGGUAAGUUCCGACCCGCACGAAAGGCGUAACGAUUUGGGCACUGUCUCAACAACAGACUCGGUGAAAUUGUAAUUCCGGUGAAGAUGCCGGAUACCUGCGACAGGACGGAAAGACCCCAUGGAGCUUUACUGUAGCUUGACAUUGGGUCUUGGUACUACAUGUACAGGAUAGGUGGGAGGCUUUGAAACCAGGACGCCAGUUUUGGCGGAGCCAUCCUUGGGAUACCACCCUUGUAGUACUGGGACUCUAACCAUAGGCCAUGAAUCUGGUCUUGGGACACUGUCAGGUGGGCAGUUUGACUGGGGCGGUCGCCUCCCAAAAGGUAACGGAGGCGCUCAAAGGUUCUCUCAGUACGGUCGGAAAUCGUACGUAGAGUGUAAAGGCAAAAGAGAGCUUGAUUGCAAGACAUACAGGUCGAGCAAGGAUGAAAAUCGGACUUAGUGAUCCGGUGGUUCUGCGUGGAAGGGCCAUCGCUCAACGGAUAAAAGCUACCCUGGGGAUAACAGGCUUAUCUCCCCCAAGAGUCCACAUCGACGGGGAGGUUUGGCACCUCGAUGUCGGCUCAUCACAUCCUGGGGCUGUAGUAGGUCCCAAGGGUUGGGCUGUUCGCCCAUUAAAGUGGUACGCGAGCUGGGUUCAGAACGUCGUGAGACAGUUCGGUCCCUAUCCGUCGCAGGCGUAGGAAAUUUGAGAAGACCUGUCCUUAGUACGAGAGGACCGGGAUGGACGUACCUCUGGUGUACCAGUUGUCCUGCCAAGGGCAUGGCUGGGUAGCUAUGUACGGAAUGGAUAAGCGCUGAAAGCAUCUAAGCGCGAAGCCAACUUCAAGAUAAGAUUUCCCACCGCAAGGGUAAGACCCCAGAAAGACUAUCUGGUUGAUAGGUCGAAGGUGUAAGUGCAGCAAUGUAUUUAGCUUAUCGAUACUAAUAGGUCGAGGACUUGACCAA
RNAcentral lists this ribosomal RNA (2230 nucleotides) under Clostridioides difficile T22. RNAcentral describes it as "bacterial LSU rRNA". It matches the Rfam family "Bacterial large subunit ribosomal RNA", at positions 674 to 2925 of the family's 2925-position model. The record is from RNAcentral. Lineage: Bacteria; Bacillati; Bacillota; Clostridia; Peptostreptococcales; Peptostreptococcaceae.